RNAcentral lists this ribosomal RNA (256 nucleotides) under uncultured bacterium. Its description in RNAcentral is "partial 16S ribosomal RNA". It matches the Rfam family "Bacterial small subunit ribosomal RNA", at positions 524 to 776 of the family's 1533-position model. The record is from RNAcentral.
UACGUAGGGGGCAAGCGUUGUCCGGAAUUAUUGGGCGUAAAGAGCUCGUAGGCGGUCUGUCGCGUCGGCUGUGAAAACCCGCGGGCUCAACCCUCGGGCCUGCAGUCGAUACGGGCAGACUAGAGUGCGGUAGGGGAGACUGGAAUUCCUGGUGUAGCGGUGGAAUGCGCAGAUAUCAGGAGGAACACCGGUGGCGAAGGCGGGAUCCUGGGCCAGUACUGACGCUGAGGUGCGAAAGCGUGGGGAGCCAAACAGG